Salvelinus namaycush (lake trout) is the source of this 579-nucleotide long non-coding RNA. RefSeq lists it as uncharacterized. The transcript has 3 exons. The record is from RefSeq and is a predicted model, not a curated record. Lineage: Eukaryota; Metazoa; Chordata; Actinopteri; Salmoniformes; Salmonidae.
UCUUUUAACGUUAUUUUGCUUACUGGGACUAUUCUGAUAAGGGGCGGCAAUUUUGUGGUCUCGCCUAUGGCGGCCGGGACCAGCCGGUCACAUGAGCACUCUUACUUUCCAAACGUCAUUUGAUGUGGGUUUCAGUGCAGGCGGGAGAUCUAUUUUAUUUUCGAAAAUAACAAUAGCAACGUUGUAGGCCUACAACUGAAAACCUUUUGAUUACGUCCAUCGUCCAAACUGGAAUGUUGGCUAUUUUCGUCUCGAUUGCUUUUGCGCGUCUAUCGUCUGAACGAAGCAUUAGACCCUGGGCCUGGAUUGAAAUAAAACUGAAUUGAAGAGGUGAACUACAGUUGCGAUCGGCGCCAAUGGAUCCGCUGGCCUUUCUUACAGAUAAGCAGUUACUGCAGUUUUUACGCUGUAGUAGGACAGAGAUGUCGUGCAUGCUGCAACCACACACUUUUCUUAACCAGCUCCGUGACCACCACCUCAUUCCGGAGAACAUGUACAAGAAGCUGAUUUUGAUUCGGAGUAAGGAGCUGAGGGAGAAGGGUGUGUACCAGGUGUUGGACUGGGUGGAGGCAAAGAGGC